This is a long non-coding RNA of Mustela lutreola (European mink), 5349 nucleotides long. RefSeq lists it as uncharacterized. The transcript has 4 exons. Lineage: Eukaryota; Metazoa; Chordata; Mammalia; Carnivora; Mustelidae. The record is from RefSeq and is a predicted model, not a curated record.
UUUUUUAAAGAUAUGUUUUUCUUAACCAGUGAUUAUGAGAGUCCUUAUUUAGGAAGAGGCCUUAUGUUAGACUAGGAAAUUUUUCUCCACAAAUAAAACAUGAGCCCUGGAAAAGAGGCCUUUAUGGGAUAAGUUUCUCCUUGAGCUAAAACAAUUUCAAGUCUCUUCUCUUAUUCUUUAUCAUCAACAAACAUGUUUCCAAAUUCUGAGAAUUCAGAGUGCUGAUACAAAUGCUUAUUUAACACUUAGUGGAGAGAAAAACAUCUCUACAUUCAGGAUGAGUGUGGCCCCUGUGUGUUUGACAGUGGCUGGGUCACAGAGUAUAUGGAGAGGCCACGGCACUCAGCCAGAUGAACUUAUUCUGAAUAUCUUACAGAAAAGAUAGCCUCACGGCUUCCAUCAGUGGCUACUGCGUAUAGCUUAGUUCCUUGUUCAGCCAUAUUUGCUACUUUCCAUGAAUCUCACUGGCCUGGAAUUCUGCUGUCUAAAUAGGCUCUGAAUGGAAAGGCUGCAGUAUCAUCUUCCAUUUUGGUGUGUCAUCAAUCAGAAAUGUUUUCUAGGGGGUGUCUGGGUGGUUCAAUCAGUUAAGCGACUUCGGCUCAGGGUUAUGAUCCCAGGGUCCUGGGAUCCAGACCUAUGUCAGGCUCCCUGCUCUGCGGAGAGCCUGCUUCUCUCUCCCUCACCACUCCCCCUGCUUGUGCUGUCUCACUCGCUUCUCUGUCAAACAAAUAAAUAAAAUCUUUUAAUUCUAAGUCCCUAGCUAGUACUUACGUAUAAUUUAGUGGCCAUCUCAAAAGGCAUAAAACAGAAUCUGCAUUUCUCUGAUCAUUUUUGUCCUGAAGUAGCAUAGGAACUGAAAAGCCUUUUGUUUCUGUGUAAUUAUGUUUUAAAGGAAACUCAAAGGGCCAGGAAGAGGCAGGUAGAGGGACUGCAAUAGGAGGGGAAAGAUGCCAGAUAAGUCCAGCAAGGAUGGCUGUGCCCAUUAUGUGGCAUUCAGAACAUCCAUUGUUAGGAGUGAAUCUUUGAUAACUACUGGUAACAGAACUUAAUUGAUGGUGGACAGAAUUUAUAUCACCUGUGGGUCCAAAGUGGAAAUGAAAGAAUGAUAGUUCACUUCAUCUUAUAAAGGUUAAACUGGGGUCAUACUGGCCUAAAAGAGAGAAGAAUACAAUAGGAUAAAAUGAAAUGAUAGAAAACACAUAAAAGUCUCUGUCCGCUCUUCCUGGCACAGAGCUAAGACCGCAGUAGGAGCAUCUUUUGUUUUAAUUGGUCUUUGACCCCAGUCCUGACAAAAAAUGACUCAUUCUUUGGAAUUUCCAGUCUUUUGUUUGAGGCAGCUCUUGAUGGGCUCCUAGAUAGCUUCAGGACGAGGACUGGUCAUCCGAGAAGGUCACCCUUCAGCCCAACCACAUCCUUCAGGAUAGAGGGAGUGGAGACAGAGAUAAUGAUGGAGCAUGCCUGUAGAGGGACGAAGCCUCCAUAAAAAUCACAGUAUUAAGGGAUCUAGAGAGCUUCCAGAUUGGUGAAAGAACUCACUUGCCAGGAGGGUGGGGCACCCCACAUUCACGGGACAGAAGCUCCUGCACUUGGUAUUCUCAGACUUAGGGAUCUCCAUCUGGCUGUUGUCUGUAUGCUUUAUCAUAUCCUUUAUAAUACUGACAAGCUCUUGGGGUUUCCCUGACUUCUGUGAGCCAUUCAAGUAAAUCAUCAAAACCCCAGGUGCCCCACUUAUAGGUAGUCAGAAGUGCAGGUGACAAUCUGGACUUGAAGUUGGGAUCUGGGCAUUGGGGAAAUGUGGGCUGUCUUGAAGGACUGAGUCCUUAACCUCUGGGGUCCGCAUCAACUCUUGUUAGUAUGAAAGUUGAAUUCUAGGGCACUCAGAUGGUGUCCUUCGAUUAUUUGGUGUGGACAUGUCUGGUGUCAAAAAGUAUUGUGAGUAUGAGAUUAAAGGAAAUACAAGCGUUUUUCUCAUGUGUUUAAUCUUAAUAGCUGAGGUGCAUUCGUGUGAUGGAGAUGGCAUUUCAAAAGAGUAAAGAUAAAGAGAUGGACCGUUUAAUAAGUGGUUUUAACUGGCACCAUAAAGCUGGCGAAGGAUAACAAUUCCCUCCAACGUAUACCAGUAUAAAUUCCAAAUGAGUUAAAGGGUGUAAAUGUAAGAAAUUAGAUGAAAAUAUAAGUGACUAUCUCAGUCAAAUAGCAAAAGGGAAAGACUAUGAUAACAAUUCAUCAAAGAACUGAUGAUCAAUGAAAAAAAAUUAAAAAAAUCUAGUAAUAACUAGAAGAUUCAGUGGGAACAAUAGAGCUUCCCAAGUGUAAGGACAUUCUCAGUGCUUUUAUAUGUAUUUGUUCAUUUAAUCAAGUCUAUGGAGAAGGUACAUUUGCUAUGUCUAUUUUAUAGAUGAGGACACUAAAGCCUGGAGUACUUCACUUAACUGAUUUUUAUCAACUAGGUGAACUACAAUCCUGAGCAUUUGAUCUAGCUAUAGUCUGCGCAUAACCACUUAGCUGUAUGCUCGUGUAGGAGGAUGCCAUUUUGAUGUGUAUGUGUGUGUAUAUAUAUGAGUGUGUGUGUAUACACAUAUCGUGUGUAAUUACAUAUAUGUAAUUGUGUAUAUCGUGUGUGUGAUUACAUACAUGUAAUUACGUGUGUGUGUGUGUACACAUAAAAACAGCAUGGGUAGCAUGGGGUUUGAUUGCUAAUUGAAAGCUGUGGUGACUAUAACCUAGUACAGCUUUUUUGGACGUUAGCUAGAAUUGUCAGAAGUCUUGAGAGUUUCUACCCCCAAUCCUAUAAUUACACUUUUGGGAAAUUUACCCAGGGAAAUAACUUGGGGAUGGGGUCUUGGCUAGGGAACUUGCCUUGAAUUGUUGUAUAGCACAUAAGUUUAAAAUCAGAAAUUGCCCAUAUCGAAGAAUAGGAAGCCAGGUUAGUAGGAUGCCAUACCUAGAGACCAUCUGUGAAACCAAACAACCUUGUUCUUGUGGAUCAGUUUACAACAGCAGACAGUAGACAACUGGAGACUCAGUGCAGAUCUUCAUUGCUAUCAUUCCAGAUUAAAAGCCAGUCUGCACUACCAGGCUCUGCCAAUUCCCAGGCCAACCAAAAGUAGGAAGAGCUGUUUUCUCCCUUGCAAGGGUUUGUCUGCUGGUGAUGAGGUGGAGAAAGAGGGAGUUUUCCACUGACGACAGAAGGAAUACUGGUCCAAGGUGCAUAGGAGAACAAAAUUUUCUACCAGUCACCCAACAGAGAAGAGGGCUUGACACUCAUCAUCAUGAAUUUUACUGUUCUAGAAGAUGUAGGAGGAAUAAAUGUGACUUGGAAUGCAAGGCUAUUUUCUCUGCCUGGAAGGUAGCUCGACUCUUCCACUAUCAAAGGAAACAAUGUUACAGUCCACAAGGUAACCCUAAGGGCAGAAGACCUCCAGGAAGCUACAGCAAAGCUGAUCACACCUUGGUCUAUCUUCUGCUGCACAGUUGUUAGUGUGAAUCAACUCAAUAAAUAUUUAUUGAACACCUAUGCAUGCUGGGUCCUUCCAGAGAAACAAAGAACUCCCUCAGAACCCAUCGUACAUACAUGUCACACUAAAUACUGAAGCAAGUAGGAUGAUAAGCCAAUGAGGUAAUAUAUAUUAAAGUGGUUUGAAAAGGAUACACACUAUUCUAAAACUCAGUGAUGUGAAAUGGUUAGUAAUACAACAGGUCACAUUUCCCCUUCCCUCUCUGUAUUAUUAAGAUGUUACUAAUGUGUCAGUUUUCUCCCUUCAGGCAAUUUCAUUGAAAAUUCUGAGAAGGAAAACAAAUAUAUCUGGAUUUCUUUCUUUUCUUUCUUUUUUUUUUUUUUUUUAAGAAAGAGAGAGUGAGAGCUUGGGGUGGGAGGGGCAGAAGGAGAGGGAGAGAGAAUUCCAAGCAGACUUGAGCACGGAGCCCGAUAUGAGGCUCCAUCUCAUGACCUGAGUUGAAAGCAAGAGAUGGACACUUAACCAACUAUGCCACCCAGGUGCCCCUAAAUCUGAAUUAAAAAAAAAACUAUGUUCUUAUCUAUAAGAACAUAUCCUAUAAUCAUAUCCACCUCUAUCUCUAUAGCUAUGUUCAUAUUCAUUGUAGAAAACUGGGGGAAAAACAAGUAUAAGGGACAAAAUUAACACCACUGUUACCUAGAGAUGGUAAUCGCCUCAGAUUUAGCAUUGGUGGUCUCAGCUCUUCAAAAACAACCCCAGAGGUUCAUGACUUUAUUUUGGGGGGGAUAGAUAAAAAAUGUUUAGUUGGUCAGAAAUCACUGACUACCUACUAUGUGCUUCUAGCUCUUUAUUAGAUGAGAACAAUCUCAUAAGAGAAUUAUAAGAUGCUGCCAGGGGAUCCUUGGGCAGUCCUUUCUCAGAAAGUGAGGGGGCUGUUUUGGCUCUUCAUCAUGUGAUAAAAUUUCCAUCACCUGGGAACACAUGGAAUGGGUCACGUGUCACUUAGCAGGGCAUGGUGCAGCAAGGCUUUUACUCUUGCAGUCCCUGAGAUUAUUUAUUUAUUCUUAACAAGGAGAGAACAAAAGCACGAGAUGUUCAAUUUAUAUCUUGCAUUAAAUCAUGAGAAUUUUAAAUGUUUGUCUCUUUGUAAACCUCUGUUAAAGAACAGAAAUACUGGCCUCUGACUGACCUAGAAGAGAAAGAGACAAUUGUAUGUGGAUAUCAUCAACGUAAACCGUAGGCGCAGACUAGAGACCAGGUUGUGUUCGCAGAGCCCGACUUUUUGUCCCCCUCUCCAAAGAUGAGAUGAGGGAAGUUUCCGUUACGCUGACAAAUGAGUGCAAGUGACUUCUGGUUAUAACUUAAAUGACUCAAGUGGAAAAUAAAAGAGAACUUUGUUAAAAGUCCCUUCCUAUGGGUGUUUCUCUCUUAGCGUUCUGGCCCGUUCAUCACUCCCUGUCCUCUAAAAAGAACAGACAGAUUUGAGAAACUCAAGAAGGAGAUGGAUUUUCUUUGAAUGUUGUUAAAAAACAAAUCUCUGGAAGGCCAGUGUCACAGACUGGUCACCAGCAUUCCGGGCUCCAUCCUUGUUCCCCUCCAGUAAGUAGUUCCCAGUCCCGAAUCCCACGUGCUUCACAGGGCAUGGCUUAUCUCACCCUUGCUGAUAACGCCAGUCUGCUCUUACCUCUUCUCCCGCUCUCUGCCUUCUCUCCGUUCCUAGACUCUGAAAAGCUCUCCCUGACACCAGUGUCUUUCCCAUAAGCCUUUGUCUCCAAAACACCUGCUCCUCUGCCGGAUAUCAGCUUCAACGUCACUCCCUCCAACAAGCUUUUCCUGACCCCUCUGACCGUUAUCAAGUCCUUCAGUUAAACCAUUACACAGGACCAUAUAC